Molecule: microRNA precursor, 59 nt
Filed under: Macaca mulatta (Rhesus monkey)
Lineage: Eukaryota; Metazoa; Chordata; Mammalia; Primates; Cercopithecidae
Also listed under: 2 other names
Description: Mml-Mir-23-P3_pre stem-loop
Rfam family: mir-23 microRNA precursor family
Source: RNAcentral
GGGGUUCCUGGGGAUGGGAUUUGCUUCCUGUCACAAAUCACAUUGCCAGGGAUUUCCAA